RNAcentral lists this ribosomal RNA (494 nucleotides) under uncultured bacterium. Its description in RNAcentral is "bacterial SSU rRNA". It matches the Rfam family "Bacterial small subunit ribosomal RNA", at positions 30 to 517 of the family's 1533-position model. The record is from RNAcentral.
AUUGAACGCUGGCGGCAUGCUUUACACAUGCAAGUCGAACGGUAACAGGGAGCUUGCUCCGCUGACGAGUGGCGAACGGGUGAGUAAUGCAUCGGAACAUGCCCAGUCAUGGGGGAUAACUACGCGAAAGCGUAGCUAAUACCGCAUACGCCCUGAGGGGGAAAGUGGGGGAUCUUAGGACCUCACGUGAUUGGAGUGGCCGAUGUCAGAUUAGCUAGUUGGUGGGGUAAGGGCCCACCAAGGCGACGAUCCGUAGCUGGUCUGAGAGGACGGACAGCCACACUGGGACUGAGACACGGCCCAGACUCCUACGGGAGGCAGCAGUGGGGAAUAUUGGACAAUGGGGGGAACCCUGAUCCAGCAAUGCCGCGUGUGUGAAGAAGGCCUGCGGGUUGUAAAGCACUUUAGUUAGGGAGGAGUGUUUGAAGGUUAAGAGCUAUCAAGCAGGACGUUACCUAAAGAAUAAGCACCGGCUAACUCCGUGCCAGCAGCCG